This 872-nucleotide ribosomal RNA is filed under the name Coniochaeta savoryi. Its description in RNAcentral is "LSU rRNA". It matches the Rfam family "Eukaryotic large subunit ribosomal RNA", at positions 46 to 952 of the family's 3401-position model. The record is from RNAcentral. Lineage: Eukaryota; Fungi; Ascomycota; Sordariomycetes; Coniochaetales; Coniochaetaceae.
CAUAGCGGAGGAAAAGAAACCCAACAGGGAUUGCCCAGUAACGGCGAAGUGAAGCGGCAACAGCUCAAAUUUGAAAUCUGGCUUCGGCCCGAGUUGUAAUUUGUAGAGGAUGCUUUUGGUGAGGUGCCUUCUGAGUUCCCUGGAACGGGACGCCAGAGAGGGUGAGAGCCCCGUAUAGUUGGACACCGAGCCUCUGUAAAGCUCCUUCGACGAGUCGAGUAGUUUGGGAAUGCUGCUCAAAAUGGGAGGUAUAUCUCUUCUAAAGCUAAAUACUGGCCAGAGACCGAUAGCGCACAAGUAGAGUGAUCGAAAGAUGAAAAGCACUUUGAAAAGAGGGUUAAAUAGUACGUGAAAUUGUUGAAAGGGAAGCGCUUGUGACCAGACUUGUGCCGGGCUGAUCAUCCAGUGUUCUCACUGGUGCACUCUGCCCGGCUCAGGCCAGCGUCGGUUCUCGCAGGGGGAUAAAAGCGGCGGGAACGUGGCUCCUCCGGGAGUGUUAUAGCCCGCCGCUCAAUACCCUUGUGGGGACCGAGGUUCGCGCUCUGCAAGGACGCUGGCAUAAUGGUCAUCAGCGGCCCGUCUUGAAACACGGACCAAGGAGUCGAGGUUUUGCGCGAGUGUUUGGGUGUCAAACCCGCACGCGUAAUGAAAGUGAACGUAGGUGAGAGCUUCGGCGCAUCAUCGACCGAUCCUGAUGUAUUCGGAUGGAUUUGAGUAAGAGCGUAUAGCCUCGGACCCGAAAGAUGGUGAACUAUGCCUGAAUAGGGUGAAGCCAGAGGAAACUCUGGUGGAGGCUCGCAGCGGUUCUGACGUGCAAAUCGAUCGUCAAAUUUGGGCAUGGGGCGAAAGACUAAUCGAACCAUCUAGUAGCU